AGUUAUAUUUGUUUUGUUAAUAACAUACAUGGAACUUUCUCAUUAGAUUUGUCCAUAGGACUUCAUGUACCUCAGAUCAAGUCAAAAUAGUGGGUUAAUUUAUCAGUUUUGUAUCUGUAGGUAUGCCCUGUGUCCUGUCUGUCUGUCUGUCUGUAUCUGUAGGUAUGCCCUGUGUCCUGUCUGUCUGUCUGUAUCUGUAGGUAUGCCCUGUGUCCUGUCUGUCUGUCUGUAUCUGUAGGUAUGCCCUGUGUCCUGUCUGUCUGUCUGUAUCUGUAGGUAUGCCCUGUGUCCUGUCUGUCUGUCUGUAUCUGUAGGUAUGCCCUGUGUCCUGUCUGUCUGUCUGUAUCUGUAGGUAUGCCCUGUGUCCUGUCUGUCUGUCUGUAUCUGUAGGUAUGCCCUGUGUCCUGUCUGUCUGUCUGUAUCUGUAGGUAUGCCCUGUGUCCUGUCUGUCUGUCUGUAUCUGUAGGUAUGCCCUGUGUCCUGUCUGUCUGUCUGUAUCUGUAGGUAUGCCCUGUGUCCUGUCUGUCUGUCUGUAUCUGUAGGUAUGCCCUGUGUCCUGUCUGUCUGUCUGUAUCUGUAGGUAUGCCCUGUGUCCUGUCUGUCUGUCUGUAUCUGUAGGUAUGCCCUGUGUCCUGUCUGUCUGUCUGUAUCUGUAGGUAUGCCCUGUGUCCUGUCUGUCUGUCUGUAUCUGUAGGUAUGCCCUGUGUCCUGUCUAUCUGUCUGUAUCUGUAGGUAUGCCCUGUGUCCUGUCUAUCUGUCUGUAUCUGUAGGUAUGCCCUGUGUCCUGUCUAUCUGUCUGUAUCUGUAGGUAUGCCCUGUGUCCUGUCUAUCUGUCUGUAUCUGUAGGUAUGCCCUGUGUCCUGUCUAUCUGUCUGUAUCUGUAGGUAUGCCCUGUGUCCUGUCUAUCUGUCUGUAUCUGUAGGUAUGCCCUGUGUCCUGUCUAUCUGUCUGUAUCUGUAGGUAUGCCCUGUGUCCUGUCUGUCUGUCUGUAUCUGUAGGUAUGCCCUGUGUCCUGUCUGUCUGUCUGUAUCUGUAGGUAUGCCCUGUGUCCUAUCUGUCUGUCUGUUGGCCCCAUAGCUUACUCUGACUACUCUCAUUUAGGACUUGUCAUUCAAUAUGAGCCUACUCUGCAAAAAACGGGUUUAAUGC
Long non-coding RNA from Dreissena polymorpha, 1149 nucleotides. RefSeq lists it as uncharacterized. The transcript has 4 exons. NCBI's taxonomy places the organism in Eukaryota, Metazoa, Mollusca, Bivalvia, Myida, Dreissenidae. The record is from RefSeq and is a predicted model, not a curated record.